Passer domesticus (house sparrow) is the source of this 355-nucleotide long non-coding RNA. RefSeq lists it as uncharacterized. The record is from RefSeq and is a predicted model, not a curated record. NCBI's taxonomy places the organism in Eukaryota, Metazoa, Chordata, Aves, Passeriformes, Passeridae. The transcript has 3 exons.
CACCAAAGGGAACAGAGGUGCAAUGCACAUAAGGUUCCUGCUAUUUAUAGUCCCUGAAAGUCCUUGACCAACUGUUCAUUUCUUUUUCAGGGCUGAAGCAACUCACUUUCUCAGCAAUAUGUGCCAAGAAGCCCAAUUACAAAAGGACAAAUGAUUCAUUUAACAGGAGUUUUCGUCAUGUUGCCACACUGCCUGACCUCCAAAUAUGCCAAGAUGCUACAGUAUCAUUUAAACUGGGAAAAAAUGCUUCUGUAUUAGCAUGAGUGAAAUUCAUGAGGGUCCCAUUAUAUCUGUAAUGUUAAAAAACCAAACCAAUACAUAAAAUCAGUCUAAUUUGAGGAGCCCUUAUGGUCAA